RNAcentral lists this long non-coding RNA (1489 nucleotides) under Salmo salar (Atlantic salmon). RNAcentral describes it as "lncRNA (ENSSSAG00000090725.1)". Lineage: Eukaryota; Metazoa; Chordata; Actinopteri; Salmoniformes; Salmonidae. The record is from RNAcentral.
GGUUGCUGAUAAUGGGCCUUCGUACGCCUAUGUAGAUAUCCCAUUCAAAAUCAGCCGUUUCCAGCUACAAGUCAUUUACAACAUUAACAAUGUCUACACUGUAUUUCUGAUCAAUUUGAUGUAAUUUUAAUGGACAAAAUGUUUUGCUUUUCUUUAAAAAACAAGGACAUUUCAAAGUGACCCCAAACCUUUGAACGGUAGUGUACAUUUAAAAAUGAAUUAAGAAAGUAAAUUAUCAAUUUACGGUGUACAGUAGUUCUUCUCUGUAAAGCCUACCAUGCUGGAGCAGUCUCAAGCAUUGGCCAGGGAGCUAGAGGAACAUGAUGCUGAACAAAACCUUGAUGGAUAUCCUGUAGGAGGACUACGCAGUGGUCCAGGUGGUGUCUGACCACAGCACACACAGAGAUGAACUGCAGGCCUGCAUCUGGACCAAAGAGCAACGCAUCUAAGACAUGGCCAAAGCCAUGCAGCAGACUCAGGGAGUGCUCAAGGAGCUAGAGGAGCAGAAACAGCACAACACAACCAGGACACCCUGGCUGAAUACACUAGGAAAAUAGAGAACCUGAACCAUCAGCUGAAAGGCAGAGAAGGAUGCGUCUUCAGUAGAGGAGCAGAUCUCCAAAGAGAAGCUAAACUCUUCUAAGCUCCAAGUGGCACUGACGGAUCCAUGAGGGGAAGAAGUUCUCAACAUGUUGCCCAGGGCAAUGUAGAUAGCUCUACCAGCCAGGCCACUGCUAGUGAAAAUCCCUGGGCAGACCUCUACUCUGUGGGACUGGGUGAAGACCACAGCGCCCUCUGUGGGCAGAUAACAGAUGCUGCACCUGCAGACACAGCGAUGUCCUGCAGCAGCGACAUUCAGACACCAGUCCAGGCAGACGAGUUCCUCAUGACACUGUCAUUGACCAUCAUAACUGUCAUCGACCAUCAGCAGAAAAAGUUGGAUGGAGCACUUGCUGAAGCUCUCGUUGAGGGUCUCUCCACCAACCUGGAUGCUCAGAAGUCAUACAGCAGUCAAAAGGAGUUGGGUAAUUUAGUGACCUGGUAGACUGCACUGACCAAACACAUGGAGGCGCUGUCUGGGAAAGUGGAGCGUCCCUGCAAAGCCAAACAGAGGGAGAACCUCAAAAUGGGGUACUUAAAAAAACGAAAAAGACUAGGCAGGUCAGUUAAGAACAAAUUCUUAUUUACAAUGACAACCUAUCAAGGAACAGUGGGUUUACUGCCUUGUUCAUGGGCAGAAUUAUAGAUUUUGGGGAUUCGAUCCAGCAACCUUUCGGUUACUGGCUCUAACCACUAGGUUACUUUCCUUCAGUGCUGGUAAAGUCACUCAAAAUGUUUUUCUAAGCCACUGUCACUUGAAAAUAUGACAAUGUUAAAGAGAAUUUGUUUAAGCAGAUGUAGGCGGGAGAAGGUCUCAGGUGUACAGUGUGAUUUCCAGAGGUCAUACCUAGAGCUGUCAACGAUGAAAAUGUAUUCAAACAAUGCACUA